RNAcentral lists this unclassified non-coding RNA (348 nucleotides) under soil metagenome. Its description in RNAcentral is "partial contains 5.8S ribosomal RNA, internal transcribed spacer 2, and large subunit ribosomal RNA". The stretch from base 1 to 120 matches the Rfam family "5.8S ribosomal RNA", at positions 35 to 154 of the family's 154-position model. The record is from RNAcentral.
GAUGAAGAACGUAGCGAAAUGCGAUAAGUAAUGUGAAUUGCAGAAUUCAGUGAAUCAUCGAAUCUUUGAACGCACAUUGCGCCCGCCAGUAUUCUGGCGGGCAUGCCUGUCUGAGCGUCAUUUCAACCCUCAUGCCCCUAGGGCGUGGUGUUGGGGAUCGGCCAAAGCCCGCGAGGGAUGGCCGGCCCCUAAAUCUAGUGGCGGACCCGUCGUGGCCUCCUCUGCGAAGUAGUGAUAUUCCGCAUCGGAGAGCGACGAGCCCCUGCCGUUAAACCCCCAACUUUCCAAGGUUGACCUCAGAUCAGGUAGGAAUACCCGCUGAACUUAAGCAUAUCAAUAAGCGGAGGA